GAUGAACGCUAGCGGCAGGCUUAACACAUGCAAGUCGAGGGGCAGCAUAAUGGAUAGCAAUAUCUAUGGUGGCGACCGGCGCGCGGGUGCGUAACGCGUAUGCAACCUACCUUUAACAGGGGGAUAACACUGAGAAAUUGGUACUAAUACCCCAUAAUAUCAUAGAAGGCAUCUUUUAUGGUUGAAAAUUCCGAUGGUUAGAGAUGGGCAUGCGUUGUAUUAGCUAGUUGGUGGGGUAACGGCUCACCAAGGCGACGAUACAUAGGGGGACUGAGAGGUUAACCCCCCACACUGGUACUGAGACACGGACCAGACUCCUACGGGAGGCAGCAGUGAGGAAUAUUGGUAAAUGGACGCAAGUCUGAACCAGCCAUGCCGCGUGCAGGAUGACGGCUCUAUGAGUUGUAAACUGCUUUUGUACGAGGGUAAACGCAGAUACGUGUAUCUGUCUGAAAGUAUCGUACGAAUAAGGAUCGGCUAACUCCGUG
This 488-nucleotide ribosomal RNA is filed under the name uncultured bacterium. RNAcentral's name for it is "partial 16S ribosomal RNA". It matches the Rfam family "Bacterial small subunit ribosomal RNA", at positions 28 to 507 of the family's 1533-position model. The record is from RNAcentral.